UGGAUUUCUCGUGGACCGCAGGAGUGUCUGGGUUUCCCGUCCUCUCGCUCAUCUCUGCUUCCCUCCUCUGAUCAUUGAUUUUCCUGUGGGUAGCUGGAGCCAGGGUGUGUCUACUAUGACCUGGCGUGUCUCCUGUGCAUGUACACUGAACUGGGAAGUCUCUUUAUUUUCUGAGUUGUGGUUUCUGACUGUGGUUAUUUCCAUGACCUGGGAUGUCUCCCACAUUCUCCAAGUGUGUCUUCCCUGACAUAAGAUGUCUCGAGAUGUGUCUUUGUGUCUUCUUGAAAUGGAGCAGGACCAUAUGGUCCUUGCCACCCCCACCUCACCCCCCAUGUCUUCUGCCUGCGUUUUGCCUGUGGAAAACUUUAGUCAGAGGAUAAGUUUAAUCAGAGAAAUGAGAAAAGCUGAAACAAAGGAAAACAGUCAGAGAAAACUAAAUAAUAAUAACGUGGUCAUCAAGCAUAGUCAAGGACUUUUAGUUCUUUCUCAAGGGCUAUAGAUGAUAUUCUGAGCAUAUUCUGUGAGCUGUCUUAUAGUUACCAAAACACCAGGUGGGGAAGUUAACUACGUGAUGACCAGAUUGUACCCAGGACAUGAGCUGCCACAAUUCUGAGAAUUGACUGCAAAGGAAUGGGAACAAACGGACCCUGGAAAUGAAGAUUAACUGUUCCUAAAACAAUCAAGAUGGUGCUGGUCAGACCAAUUUGAAGAUGAUUGUUAGAGAUAACUGUGCUGUUUCUGCAUGUACCCUCCCCCCAACUCUGUCUAUAAAAGCUCUCACUGCCUGCUUUUUGGGGUGGAGUUGGCCUUUGGACAGAUGUCUGCCACCCCCACCCCCCAGUUGCCAGCAUCUGAAAUAAAGCAAAUGUUCCUUUCCA
Molecule: long non-coding RNA, 878 nt
Filed under: Bos indicus x Bos taurus (hybrid cattle)
Lineage: Eukaryota; Metazoa; Chordata; Mammalia; Artiodactyla; Bovidae
Description: lncRNA (ENSBIXG00000000886.1)
Source: RNAcentral